CCUACGGGUGGCAGCAGUGAGGAAUAUUGGUCAAUGGGCGCAAGCCUGAACCAGCUACGCCGCGUGAGGGAAGACGGCCUUCGGGUUGUAAACCACUUUUCUCGAGGAAGAAAAGUCCAUUUAUAGAACCGGUAGCUGAGGACAUCUACCUGCCAGUAGCCGCGGGAAUACGUCGGGCGCGAGGGUGCGACGGAUUUACUGGGUGUAAAGGGUACGUAGGCGGCUUUGCAAGUUAGCAGUGAAAUCCCUGGGCUUAACCCAGGAACGGCUUUUGAAACUGGACCGCUUGAGUGCGGUAGAGGUAGGCGGAAUUCCAGGUGUAGCGGUGAAAUGCGUAGAUAUCUGGAAGAACACCGAUGGCGAAGGCAGCCUGCUGGGACGUAACUGACGCUGAGGCACGAAAGCGUGGGUAGCAAACAGGAUUAGAUACCCGGGUAGUC
RNAcentral lists this ribosomal RNA (440 nucleotides) under uncultured bacterium. RNAcentral's name for it is "partial 16S ribosomal RNA". It matches the Rfam family "Bacterial small subunit ribosomal RNA", at positions 338 to 795 of the family's 1533-position model. The record is from RNAcentral.